GAGCGGUGGACGGGUGAGUAAUGCCUAGGAAUCUGCCUAAUAGUGGGGGAUAACUUGCCGAANGGUAAGCUAAUACCGCAUACGUCCUACGGGAGAAAGGAGGGGACCUUCGGGCCUUUCGCUAUUAGAUGAGCCUANGUCGGAUUAGCUAGUUGGUGAGGUAAUGGCUCACCAAGGCUGCGAUCCGUAACUGGUCUGAGAGGAUGAUCAGUCACACUGGAACUGAGACACGGUCCACACUCCUACGGGAGGCAGCAGUGGGGAAUAUUGGACAAUGGGGGCAACCCUGAUCCAGCCAUGCCGCGUGUGUGAAGAAGGUCUUAGGAUUGUAAAGCACUUUAAGUUGGGAGGAAGGGCAGUUAACUAAUAUUUGACUGUUUUGACGUUACCGACAGAAUAAGCACCGGCUAACUUCGUGCCAGCAGCCGCGGUAAUACGAAGGGUGCAAGCGUUAAUCGGAAUUACUGGGCGUAAAGCGCGCGUAUGUGGUUCGUUAAGUUAGGAGUGAAAGCCCCGGGCUCAACCUGGGAAUUGCUUCUAAAACUGGCGAGCUAAAGUAUGGUAAAAGGGUGGUGGAAUUUUCCUGUGUUACGGUGAAA
RNAcentral lists this ribosomal RNA (599 nucleotides) under Adelie penguin guano bacterium 97. Its description in RNAcentral is "bacterial SSU rRNA". It matches the Rfam family "Bacterial small subunit ribosomal RNA", at positions 93 to 686 of the family's 1533-position model. The record is from RNAcentral.